UACUAGAGUAGCACUCGCAUAUCAAUAAGCGGAGGAAAAGAAACUAACAAGGAUUCCCCUAGUAACGGCGAGUGAAGCGGGAAGAGCUCAAAUUUGAAAUCUUAAAGGGUUUCCCUUUACGAAUUGUAGUUUAAAGAAGUGUUUUCUGUUGAGGUUUUGGUAAAAGUUCUUUGGAAUAGGACAUCAUAGAGGGUGAGAAUCCCGUAUUUGACCUUUACUUUCAACUUUGUGAUACACUUUCAAAGAGUCGGAUUGUUUGGGAAUGCAGUCCAUAAUGGGUGGUAAAUUUCAUCUAAAGCUAAAUAUUGGCGAGAGACCGAUAGCGAACAAGUACCGUGAGGGAAAGAUGAAAAGAACUUUGAAAAGAGAGUUAAACAGUACGUGAAAUUGUCAAAAGGGAAGCGUUUGACACCAGUGUUGUUUUUCUGAAAAUCAAUUAAAGAACUGUUUAUGCUAAGCUGUUUAGACUUUAUCAGCUAUCUGUUUAGUUUUGAGCUUUUCUUUAAUGCACUUUUCAGUUAACAAGUCAACAUCAAUUUCUUUUGCUGUAAAAAAGCUUGAGGAAGGUGGCUUGAGAUUCGUCUUAAGUGUUUAUAGCCUCUUGCCUAUGCAGUCGGAGAGAUUGAGGUCUGCAGCGUAGAUCCUUCGGGGCUAAAUGCAUUUGUGCUAAGUUAUAGCAUUUUAUAGACAACUUGUUGACUAUGAUUUGUCUUGUAGCUUACUCGCUUAUGUUAUUUUACCUACGCUUAGGAUGUUGAAGACUCUACAGAGAUA
This 774-nucleotide ribosomal RNA is filed under the name uncultured Neocallimastigales. RNAcentral describes it as "partial large subunit ribosomal RNA". It matches the Rfam family "Eukaryotic large subunit ribosomal RNA", at positions 20 to 633 of the family's 3401-position model. The record is from RNAcentral. Lineage: Eukaryota; Fungi; Neocallimastigomycota; Neocallimastigomycetes; Neocallimastigales.